UACGGAGGGUGCGAGCGUUGUCCGGAAUCACUGGGCGUAAAGGGCGCGUAGGCGGCCAGAUAAGUCGCGUGUGAAAUCCCGGUGCUCAACGCCGGGGCCGCACGUGAGACUGUCCGGCUGGAGCUCGGUAGAGGCGAGUGGAAUUCCCGGUGUAGCGGUGGAAUGCGUAGAUAUCGGGAAGAACAUCGGUGGCGAAGGCGGCUCGCUGGGCCGAUGCUGACGCUGAGGCGCGAAAGCGUGGGGAGCAAACAGG
RNAcentral lists this ribosomal RNA (253 nucleotides) under uncultured bacterium. Its description in RNAcentral is "partial 16S ribosomal RNA". It matches the Rfam family "Bacterial small subunit ribosomal RNA", at positions 524 to 776 of the family's 1533-position model. The record is from RNAcentral.